RNAcentral lists this ribosomal RNA (253 nucleotides) under uncultured bacterium. RNAcentral describes it as "partial 16S ribosomal RNA". It matches the Rfam family "Bacterial small subunit ribosomal RNA", at positions 524 to 776 of the family's 1533-position model. The record is from RNAcentral.
UACGGAGGAUGCAAGCGUUAUCCGGAUUCAUUGGGUUUAAAGGGUGCGCAGGCGGAAUGAUAAGUCAGUGGUGAAAUCUCCCGGCUCAACCGGGAAACUGCCAUUGAUACUGUCGUUCUUGAGUACAGUUGAAGUGGGCGGAAUGUGUCAUGUAGCGGUGAAAUGCUUAGAUAUGACACAGAACACCGAUAGCGAAGGCAGCUCACUAAGCUGUAACUGACGCUCAUGCACGAAAGCGUGGGGAUCAAACAGG